This is a long non-coding RNA of Meriones unguiculatus (Mongolian gerbil), 370 nucleotides long. RefSeq lists it as uncharacterized. NCBI's taxonomy places the organism in Eukaryota, Metazoa, Chordata, Mammalia, Rodentia, Muridae. The record is from RefSeq and is a predicted model, not a curated record. The transcript has 3 exons.
GGGGAGAGUCCACUGCCGGGGGAGAGAGACCCCUGUGAAAGGGCAGGCUAAGCCCAGGGGCCACGGUCCGCAGUUUGAGAGCCACUGGUGUAAGUCGCCGCAUUCAAAGGAGCAGAAGACGGUCAACAAGCUUCAGUUUAGCUCCGUUCCACUGACCCAGCAUUCCCGGGCUCAAGGCAGGAGAGCGUGAAGAUGGACGAGGUGUCAUCACUGGACCCAUUCAAAGGGAAAAGCAUGCAGUCAUUUGACAACCCACUCAGGAGGAACACAAGUUAUACAGAUGAGACGCCAUCCUCUUGUUAUUUAUUAAAACAUGUGUGAAAUUAAUGUUUUAAUCUAUUCACUAUUUAAUUAAAAUAUUUUUUAUGGA